Molecule: unclassified non-coding RNA, 345 nt
Filed under: soil metagenome
Description: partial contains 5.8S ribosomal RNA, internal transcribed spacer 2, and large subunit ribosomal RNA
Rfam family: 5.8S ribosomal RNA (bases 1-119)
Source: RNAcentral
GAUGAAGAACGUAGCGAAAUGCGAUACGUAAUGUGAAUUGCAAAUUCAGUGAAUCAUCGAGUCUUUGAACGCACAUUGCGCCCCCUGGUAUUCCGGGGGGCAUGCCUGUCCGAGCGUCAUUGCUGCCCUCAAGCACGGCUUGUGUGUUGGGCCCCGUCCUCCGAUUCCGGGGGACGGGCCCGAAAGGCAGCGGCGGCACCGCGUCCGGUCCUUGAGCGUAUGGGGCUUUGUCACCCGCUCUGUAGGCCCGGCCGGCGCUUGCCGAUCAACCCAAAUUUUUAUCCAGGUUGACCUCGGAUCAGGUAGGGAUACCCGCUGAACUUAAGCAUAUCAAUAAGCGGAGGA